This 96-nucleotide microRNA precursor is filed under the name Otolemur garnettii (small-eared galago). Its description in RNAcentral is "mir-544 microRNA precursor family". It matches the Rfam family "mir-544 microRNA precursor family". Lineage: Eukaryota; Metazoa; Chordata; Mammalia; Primates; Galagidae. The record is from Rfam by way of RNAcentral.
AUCACCUGGGGAUCUUGUUAAAGGCAGAUUCUGCGUCAGUAGGUUCGGGAUAGACCUGAGAUUUUGUAUUUUCAACAAGCCCUCAGGUGAUGCUGA